UCUUUUUAAAGAAAAAAAAUUUCAGUUGGGAAUUGAAGUUGAGAAAAUUGAAUUAAAUCCUACUUUUCCCCCACAAACUAACAGUAGAUAGGGACUCCCUACACCUACUUAGAGGUGUACAAUCAGUCAGUUUGGAAUCAAACAGACAAAAUCGAACCUUUCAUUUCAUGAAUCAAACCGAACUGUAGUAUUCAGGGAACUGAAAGGUUCGGUUUAAACGGUUUGAGCCUGCUUUAUUGGGCCUUCUAGUGGGGAGAAAAAGUCUUCUCGAGUAAUUUGUUAAGCUAGAGGGAUUUGUCUAACUUUCAGUAGUUGGACAUAAGAAAAACAAUUGUCCCUGUGGGAUUAAGGGUCACGCUAUCCAAUAUUCAGCACAAACUUGGAAUUCAAUUGUACCGACUGUAUUAUUUAUAACUUUAAAAUAAUUAAAUAAACCACAUUUAUCUCAUCCCGCAGCCAUCAUAAGCACCACAAAAUGAAAAAUAAGAGAUGCCAAGAAGAAACCCAUUAGAACAAUACAAGCAAAAGAAGAGAAACAACAACAUAGUUGCUUAAAUACCUCAAAGAGACAGAACUGCAACUAAUAAAAAGUGGAAAAGAGUCAUUGUUCUUUUGAUUCAACAAACAAAUCAUCAAGAACAGCGCAUGGACAAGCACUUCAACUCAAUCUAAACAAUUCUGAAUCCAACAUAACUAUAGCAGGUGGAUAUAAUACCUAC
This 719-nucleotide unclassified non-coding RNA is filed under the name Hevea brasiliensis (rubber tree). The record is from RNAcentral. Lineage: Eukaryota; Viridiplantae; Streptophyta; Magnoliopsida; Malpighiales; Euphorbiaceae.